Molecule: ribosomal RNA, 381 nt
Filed under: uncultured bacterium
Lineage: Bacteria
Description: bacterial SSU rRNA
Rfam family: Bacterial small subunit ribosomal RNA
Source: RNAcentral
GACGAACGCUGGCGGCGUGCCUAACACAUGCAAGUCGAACGAAGCUUGACGAACGAUUCUUCGGAUGAAUUCUGAUAUGACUGAGUGGCGGACGGGUGAGUAACGCGUGAGCAACCUGCCCUUCAGAGGGGGAUAGUGUCCUGGAAACGGACAGGUAAUACCGCAUAAUGUACAUUGAUGGCAUCUUCGAUGUACCAAAGCUUUUGCGCUGAAGGAUGGGCUCGCGUCUGAUUAGAUAGUUGGUGGGGUAACUGGCCUACCAAGUCGACGAUCAGUAGCCGGACUGAGAGGUUGAACGGCCACAUUGGGACUGAGACACGGUCCCAGACUCCUACGGGAGCAGCAUGGGANAUUGCACAAUGGGCGCAAGCCUGAUGCAGC